This 66-nucleotide transfer RNA is filed under the name Craspedonirmus immer. RNAcentral's name for it is "tRNA-Pro". Lineage: Eukaryota; Metazoa; Arthropoda; Insecta; Psocodea; Philopteridae. The record is from RNAcentral.
CAGGGGGUAGUUUUGAAAAGCGUUAAUUUUGGAGAUUAAAGACCCCUGUUCACAAGGGCUCUCUGA